This 218-nucleotide ribosomal RNA is filed under the name uncultured bacterium. RNAcentral describes it as "partial 16S ribosomal RNA". It matches the Rfam family "Bacterial small subunit ribosomal RNA", at positions 116 to 334 of the family's 1533-position model. The record is from RNAcentral.
CGUGGGGAUCUGCCCAGUAGUGGGGAACAACUCCGAGAAAUCGGAGCUAAUACCGCAUACGGUCUGUUGUGAAAGCAACGAGACUAAAGCCAGUAAUGGCGCUAUUGGAGGAACCUGCGGCUGAUUAGCUAGUUGGUGGGGUAAAGGCCUACCAAGGCGAUGAUCAGUAGCUGGUCUGAGAGGAUGGACAGCCACACUGGGACUGAGAUACGGCCCAG